Molecule: ribosomal RNA, 401 nt
Filed under: Staphylococcus sp.
Lineage: Bacteria; Bacillati; Bacillota; Bacilli; Caryophanales; Staphylococcaceae
Description: bacterial SSU rRNA
Rfam family: Bacterial small subunit ribosomal RNA
Source: RNAcentral
UGCAGUCGAGCGACAGACGAGGAGCUUGCUCCUCUGACGUUAGCGGCGGACGGGUGAGUAACACGUGGAUAACCUACCUAUAAGACUGGGAUAACUUCGGGAAACCGGAGCUAAUACCGGAUAACAUGUUGAACCGCAUGGUUCAACAGUGAAAGACGGUCUUGCUGUCACUUAUAGAUGGAUCCGCGCCGCAUUAGCUAGUUGGUAAGGUAACGGCUUACCAAGGCAACGAUGCGUAGCCGACCUGAGAGGGUGAUCGGCCACACUGGAACUGAGACACGGUCCAGACUCCUACGGGAGGCAGCAGUAGGGAAUCUUCCGCAAUGGGCGAAAGCCUGACGGAGCAACGCCGCGUGAGUGAAGAAGGUCUUCGAUCGUAAAACUCUGUUAUUAGGGAAGAA